UACGUAGGGGGCUAGCGUUGUCCGGAAUCAUUGGGCGUAAAGAGCGCGUAGGCGGCCAGAUAAGUCCGGUGUGAAAGUCAAAGGCUCAACCUUUGAAUGCCGCUGGAAACUGUCUGGCUAGAGUCCGGGAGGGGCGAGUGGAAUUCCUGGUGUAGCGGUGAAAUGCGCAGAUAUCAGGAGGAACACCGGUGGCGAAGGCGGGUCUCUGGGCCGAUACUGACUCUGAGGAGCGAAAGCGUGGGGAGCGAACAGG
RNAcentral lists this ribosomal RNA (253 nucleotides) under uncultured bacterium. RNAcentral's name for it is "partial 16S ribosomal RNA". It matches the Rfam family "Bacterial small subunit ribosomal RNA", at positions 524 to 776 of the family's 1533-position model. The record is from RNAcentral.